This 250-nucleotide small RNA is filed under the name Arabidopsis thaliana (thale cress). RNAcentral describes it as "ATSL082550". The record is from RNAcentral. Lineage: Eukaryota; Viridiplantae; Streptophyta; Magnoliopsida; Brassicales; Brassicaceae.
CUAGUUAAUGUUAAAUCUAUAUACACAUUUUUAGCAGCACUUUUUGUCUUUAAUGUUUGAAUUUCUCUCACUAAUAUUUUAGUUAAGAUGAGUCAAAAUUUACCCGGUUUAAUUAUGUUCGGAUAUUACAUAACUUUAAUGGAUCGGAUUAUUUACCUGGUUUUAUUGUGUUCCAAUCCUGAGAACAUUAAUUUUUGAAAAAAGUUACCAUUUCUAUCAAAAAAAUAAUUGGAAACGAAAUUAAUUAUUU